Molecule: long non-coding RNA, 3469 nt
Organism: Aethalodelphis obliquidens (Pacific white-sided dolphin)
Lineage: Eukaryota; Metazoa; Chordata; Mammalia; Artiodactyla; Delphinidae
Exons: 2
Source: RefSeq, a predicted model, not a curated record
GGGAUUUCGUGGCUCCAGGCGGCGCAGCGGCUGUCGGCUCCCCGCGGACGCGUCGUGACGCUGAGAGAGGGUCGGCCGCCGGGCGGCGAGGGGACCAUAGAGCUGCUCCGGAAAAAGGCGCUGCGCCCGCGGCCGCUCCUCCCGCGGGGAGGCGGAGACGCUCCCGGCCCUUUAUGAUGUGUGUUUACAUGCGCGGAGGGAUCCACCCAGCUGACAGCGGCGCCGCGCCGGUCCUUCUUUUUUUAAAGAGCCCGGCCGCGGGCGCUGAUUGGCCGGCCGGCGUGGGCGCUGAUUGGCCGGACGGCGCGGCGCUUGGGGGCGGGGCACGCGCCUCAUUGUCUGCUCAGCGGCCGCAGGGCUCCCCAGUGGCUGUGCUGCGCUCUCGGUCGGAGGUCCGGGUCUCUGGGCAGCUGGCCGCGAGGCAGGGGUGGGCCGGCGUCGCGGCCGCGUCCGGUGCCGCGGCCGGUGGGUGGCAGUCCCGGCGGCCGGAGCGUAACCGAGCCCUGUCCGGGUGCCACGUGUCCAGGAACCCCUCCUCACCCGGGACGACACCCCGCCCCGCCGGGCUCCUUCUCCAGCCGCCGCCUGUGUGCGGCCCCGGAGCCUCGCACACGUCCCUGGGGUCUCUAUCCUCCUCCUGCCCGCUCAGCCCCCAGGCCUCCCGAACAGCCUGCCCGACCCCACCCGGCCCGCGCCCCUGGCUCUGCAUCCUGCACCCCGGGCCGGCCGCCCGGUGAUGGGGCGCCGCCGCGUUCCUUCCGGGCGCCGCAGACUCGCAAACUGGGGGGGCGACCUGGUCCCGCGCCCACCUCCGGACUGGGCUCCAGGAGUGGGGAGGCCGGCUCCCCGGCGGCCGCGAAGGGGGCGGCCCGCGCGGCACGUAGCGCACGUGGAGGGCACCUCCCGCCCCAAGGCCGCCGCCGCCUCCGGCUGCUUUCCUGGCGCGGGGGGUGGGCGUGCGUCUGCCCUCCGCGCGGCCCCCGGUCUCUGCGAGCGUCCCUUGCACAGCGCUCGUCCCUCCCCAACGCUGCUGGACCUCCUCUCUCCUCUCCUUUCCCCUAAUUUCACCGACGCACAGGCCUCUCCUUAGCCUCCUCACGAUCCAGCUCGGCCCCUCCCUCUAGUCCACUGUCGUCCUCUCCCACCCCUUUGGGGGCCCGAAUGCUUGGUGUCAGAUGUCCCCUGUGGAGACAGACCCACAGACCUUGAGAUCUCAGGAUGAGCUGCCGCCUUGGUGGUCUCCGUGUUUUGCUUUAUUUUGUGCACUCCCACGGCGUCUCUCUAUUCCUGUUCCUUUAACCAGGCAUUUGUCUUUUUCCACUGCCGUCCCUGCCCUCGUGCCCUACACAGGCAAGGGUCCCCACCGGAUUGUAAACCGCUGCAGGGAGGGAGUCACGGCCUCCAGCCCGGGACCAGGCACGUGGAAGGAGCUCCACACGUUUGUUGAAGGGGAAGGGAAAUGGCUUUUAGUGUCUGUGGCUCUGUCUGGCCGAGGAUGGAGUUUUGGACCGGACAAGGAGAAGAAUCUGGUUGCCCAGGGCUGGGCCACUUUGGAGGUUCUGGACUCUGCUGGGAAAAGGUGAGAGGCAGAGAGAAGAACUCAAGUUCCUUGUUCACACUGCAGCCGCCACCGUCACCCCUAAGGAAGGUCUCUGGACUGAGGACCCCUCUCAGCAUGCUCUAGGGCCUUGGAUGGUUGGAAUGUUUGAAAUUCUCUGCAUCCAGGAUGAAAGUCUUGCAACAGGAAUAAAAGGACUUCUACACUAAUUAUAUCUGAACUUCCCAGAGCACUCCCGAAUCCACCGUGCUCGUUUGAAAUCCAGCGUUCAACCAAAUCCUGUCACACGUCCGGCACAGGGUCUGACACAAAAUCCUAACGCUGAGUCCCUUUCUUCUCUCCCCUGGCAGGAAGGGAUGCUACCUGCGCACCUAGAGAUACUGUGCGACCAGGAAUAGGACCACGCCAGUGGCUGGGGAGUAAUUCAUAGUCUAUGGGACAUACCAACCCCGUGAAGUAGAUGGGUGAUACUGUCGCCAUUUUUCAAAUGGAGAAACUGAGACUCAGAAGAGUUUAUUAGGCAAAAUCACACAGGUAACAACAGAGCUAGGACUGGAAUGGGAACACUGGAGCCUGUGAUCUUCCCUAAACACCAAGCUGAGGAAAGAGAACAUGGAAACCCCAUCCCAAAUCUGACCACCAGCUGGCCCUGCAGCUGCCAACAUGUGUCCAUUCUCUCCCCUCUAAGCCACGCUGGUUUCACACUUUCUGGACUGUCAUCUAUAGUACCUUCACUUACAUUCUAACGGUUUCACAAAACAAUACUUGCCCUUAUACAGUGACGCAUGUGCCGGUUGAGACUCAUGAGGUUGGCUUUGUAACCUAUUAUGGAUUCUGACCCUCAGUUGGAGAAAUGCUGCUUGGAGGUUAGUUUUUCCUGUUGUUUGCUAGCUUUCAAGAAGAUGGAGCUGCAGUAGUUUCUUCACACCCACCUCAGCUCAAGGUUUAACCAUUGCUCCUUGCCAUGUCUUCCCUACAUCCUCCAGAACGCUGUCCACAUCACAUACAAGAUCAAUCCCUAUUGCUUAUCUCUCCGGUCUGUUUUGUACUGUUGAUUAUUCACUUGGCUGCAAUCUUCUAUUCAUUUCCCUCCUACCUCUGCCCACAGCCCUUCAACUCAAGGGGUCACUUUGUGCCCCAUCUUUUCAGGUGCCCAGUAUAAGACCAGGACCUAGCAUAGUCUUCAAGUCUCCCAAGACCUGACUUAGAGCAAAGGCCAAAGACUCAAUGCCUUCAGGGGACAGAAAUAAAUGAGAGAAACCAGCCAGGUGGACUCUGAAGAAGAGAAUGCACGUCCGGCGACCGGGGCCACCACUGCUCAGGCCAGGGUGGCAGCAAGUUGCAAUUUUCCAGAGAAGCCAGAAGUCUAAUUAUUUAUGCAAUCUCUCCUAAUUUUUAGAUGUUCAAUCUUCAAUCAAAUUUCUAAAAAACAGUGUGUGGCCCAACCAGACGUGCUUGUGGUCCGAGUGUGUUCUGCGUGGAGCCACCUCCCUGGAGAGGCUGGUGGGAUGAUGAGUUUGCUGACCUUCCGGGAGAACAAUGGUUACCAAGGGAGCACCAGAGAGAGAUGCUGAGGGCUGGAGGUGAGCUCCUGCCCAUCUCCCCACCUCCCUGCCGGGGCUCGAGUUCAUGCUUCUAGGCUGGAAGGAGAGCUCUACCUUGCAGCAAAGUCUGGAGCCCACACCUGGGACACACCAUGGCAACAGGUACAGCAUCUCAGAUGGCUCACCCUGAUCUGCGCUGCUGCCGAGGGACCUGCCAGGGCUUGUUUAGUAUUUAUUUUCAUUUUACAUCCACUGUGCUUCAAUUAAAAAAUACCUAUUUUCCCCUCUUCCUCCACUGUUUGCCCCCUCUAAGGCCCUCAGAGGAGUGCGAAUGAGGUGCCAAGAUGCAGAAGUGUUCUCAAAGUGC